RNAcentral lists this unclassified non-coding RNA (1259 nucleotides) under Hevea brasiliensis (rubber tree). The record is from RNAcentral. Lineage: Eukaryota; Viridiplantae; Streptophyta; Magnoliopsida; Malpighiales; Euphorbiaceae.
UGCAGAGCACAACCCCUGGCAACACACUCACUGGCAUUCAUGGUACGCCUAGGCUCCUUUCCAAAGAAUUCAGUCAAGAUCUUGAUUAUAGCAGGUACGCGAGAGCCAGAUCCAACCACCUCAACCAUGUGAACAUUAUCAACUGUCAGCUUAGCAUCUUGAAGUGCCUUCUCCAAAGGCCUUUUAACACGUUCCAAAAUUGGAACACAAAUCUGCUCAAACUCAUCUCUCUUAAUGAAGCCUCUAACAUCCUUCUCAUCCAUUAAGCAUUCAAUAUUCAGAGGAGCCUCAGGGUUGGCACUAAGAACCUUCUUUAGCUUCUCACAAGCAGCUCUAAGCCUAAGACAAGCCCUUGCAUUCUGGAAAACAUCAAUCUUAUACUCUUCCUUGAACUUAGCAGCAAAGUGAUGAAACAGAACCUCAUCAAAAUCUCUACCACCCAGAGUCCGAUCGUAAGAAUGAGCCAAAAUCCUGAGUUGGCCUUUUUUGAAUCCAGCAAUGCACACUUGCAUACUUGCAUCUCCAAUGUCAACAAAAGCAACAUUCAAUUGAUCAUUCUCAGGCAGAUCAGUCUUAUAAAUACCAUAUGCCAAUGCUGUAGCUGUGGUUUCAUGAAUCAAACGAAGAGGAUGCAGUCCUGCAAUGGUGGCUGCAUCCAAAACAGCCCUUCUUUGGAGGUCAGUGAAAUAAGCUGGAAUUCCAAUGCAGCAAUCCACCACUGCUGCAUUUAGAUUCUUCUCAGCUAUGCAUUUCAAAUUUGACAACACCAUGCCCAAAACUUGCGUUGGCGUAAAUGUCUUCACUUCACCUAAGUACCGUGCAUGAAUCAAAGGGAACCCAUCAGGACCUUCAGUUACAGCAAAGGGAAAUGACUUGAGAUCCUUUUGCAACUCAGGAUCAGAGAAUUGGCGGCCUAUUAGCCGCUUAAUCUGAGAUAUAGAGUUUUUGGGGUUCAUCAUAGUUGAGGCAGCUCCUGCAGUACCAAUGAAUCGCUGUUUGUCACCGAAGCACACAAUAGCAGGAGUUUCUCGCUUCGAUUCAUCAUUAAGCACAACAUCAAUCCCUCUUUGCCGUGCAACAGCUACAACGCUGUUCUCAUUGCCAAAAUCAAAUCCAACAACACUCAUUUUUUUUAUAAAAUUUACUAAUUUAUGGGGUAAAUCGGUGUAGCCGUCACAAAUUUAUGUUGUAAGGUAACCUGAAAAGCCGAACCAAUCUAGUAGUAGAAUCAAACAAUCAGAGACACAAAAUCCCCGUUA